Molecule: long non-coding RNA, 621 nt
Filed under: Homo sapiens (human)
Lineage: Eukaryota; Metazoa; Chordata; Mammalia; Primates; Hominidae
Description: HSALNT0334782
Source: RNAcentral
AUGCAACCUAAAAGUAACCAACUCCCCCCACGCGAAGGUUCCUAUCGGUCGACGGGCUGUGGGUGUAUUGCUCAGUGACGGCUUCGUUUAGUUUCUCCCAGCACCCAUAAUUCAAAGCAAGAACAACGACAUUAUGGGGAGAAAACGUCCUUUUGUGAAACAGAAGGCAAUCCACACCAUUAGUAAACCCCAUCAAUUUUGCCUUCAGAAUAUAUCCAGAUUCUUCCCAAUUCUACCGCCACCAUUCUGGUUCAAGCUACCUGGAUCUCACUUUGUUACCCAGGCUAGAGUGCAAUGGUGUGACCACAGCUCACUGAAGCCUCAACCUCCUGAGCUCACUUUUAAGCAAUCCUCUCACUUCGGCCUCCUGAGUAGCUGGGCCUACAGGCAUGUACCAACACUCCCAGCAAGUUUUUCUUAUUUUUGUGAAGACAGAGUCUUGCAGUAUUGCCCAAGCUGGACUUGAACUCCUGGCCUCAAGCAAUCCUCCCAUCUAGGCCUCCCAAAGUGCUAGGAUUACAGGCAUGAGCCACUGUGCCAAGCAACACUUGCAGUUUUUAAGUGAAAAUGAUCCUGUAAAUAUAUAUAUGAAUAAAAUCUAGAAAGCUAUAUAAAUCAAAA